RNAcentral lists this microRNA precursor (78 nucleotides) under Myotis brandtii (Brandt's bat). Its description in RNAcentral is "mir-9193 microRNA precursor family". It matches the Rfam family "mir-9193 microRNA precursor family". Lineage: Eukaryota; Metazoa; Chordata; Mammalia; Chiroptera; Vespertilionidae. The record is from Rfam by way of RNAcentral.
UGGGGGGUGGGGUGGUUGUCCCUCAGCCUCGAUUGCGAAGAGAGUGCAGGCCAGGCUGAGGGACCCCACCAGUGCGCA